Long non-coding RNA from Passer domesticus (house sparrow), 5585 nucleotides. RefSeq lists it as uncharacterized. The transcript is spliced from 2 exons. NCBI's taxonomy places the organism in Eukaryota, Metazoa, Chordata, Aves, Passeriformes, Passeridae. The record is from RefSeq and is a predicted model, not a curated record.
GUGUGCCAGUGAGAAACCAUCCAUGGGAAUGGAGGAUGUUGUGUGCAGGGCAAUGUAUUCCUGGCUUGCCAUUUUGCUUCACUGUCACUCAGCUGAACAUGGUCCCUAUCUAAGAAGGACUUUGGAGAAAUGGGUAGGAAUUUUGGCUCUGAGAGGAGCAGAAAGCAUAUUUUCUAGACCACAUUGCCAGCAGAUGCCGUUUGCCUGGCAGAACAGUGAUUGCCACUCAUCUUCCUGGCAAGAAUGUCAAGACCCAUUCAGAGAUCCCAGGUUCAGCUGGCCUUUGGCUUUGUCUGUCUCAUUUCACACAUCCACUUUCAAGGGCCAUUAGAAGAGGCACAUGUCUGCCUUGCUACCCAGAAGUGCUGUAGUUAUUCCCAGAAAAAAAAAAAAAAAAACAAAAACAAAAACUGGGUGUCCUGUGGUGUGGUAGAAAUCCCAUCACAGUUGUGACUCUGUGAGCAAAGACAACCAGUGCUUUUUGGGGCUGUAACAGCUGAGAGUGUGGCAGAGCAGGUUUGAUAUUGUUUUUAGACUCCUGAAAACAUUGUUCCCAAACAAUCUUUCUCUCCUGUCUUCUGUCAUCAACUGUGGAACAGAGGAAAUGGAAGGGAUCAGAGGUUUGUUUAAAUUUGCGCUUAUUUUUAAUUCUUCAAAUAGUGUCAGCUUGAUGCGUGAUACUUUAGAAAUUGGAUGAGUAGCACCUAUUUCAUCCCAGCGAGAGGUGGGAUUGAAGACUUCCAACAACAGAAACACUGGAUGUGCAAGAGCUCAGUUUUCCACCCCUCACACAAGUAACUUGCUGUACUAUUUUCAGCAGCCUCAGCCAGAUCGAUUAAAAUACUGCUCCAAACAACAACAGAAUGAAAAUCUUCCACCAAAUGGGGAAAAGGAAGAAAAGUGGGCCGCAGCCCUUUCUUCAGAGCUUGUGUUGAUUUUGCCAAGUCAGAUGCAAACAAGGUUUGCCAUAUUUCUUUCCUAGAAAAAUGCAGCUCUUGAAUAGAAAUCUAUCUCUGAGGCUGCUAAGUUUGGUCCGAUUUUAGAGCUGGGAGGAGCAAAACAGGUUCCAGAGAAGCCGUGGUUGUGUCACCCUUGGAAGUGUUCAGGGCCAGGUUGGAUGGGGCUUGGAGCAACCUUAUUAGCGGAAGGUGUCCUGAGUCUGGUGAGUCCCUGAAAAGAAACGUUUGGUUUUCCUGAAAUGCUGCCUUUGCAAGGGGAGGUCACAACUACCCCACGUAAUUUGAAAUGCCCUGAGCAGAACCCAACUGUUUUUUCUCACAGGUGAGGAGGGAUUUUCACUUGUAUUUUAUGGAGGAUUUUGACAGGGCAGAGCAAGAGCAGCUGAAUGUGUUUGACAGGCAAAGAGGGCCAGUGUGGCAGCAGCUUAAUUCCAUGGAGCUUUUCCUUCUGUGAUCCUGUACAACCUGAGGCAGCACUCUGGGGCUCUUGAACCUGGCAGCUGGGCAAGUUAAUCAUUGGAACAAGUGAUAAAUUAAGCUGCUCCACUCUCUUGAGCAUGGGUGUGAUGAGCCUUAAGUAAACCUGUGAGCACUUGUCAGGAUGGGAGCUUGUUCUUUGCCAGGGAGGAGGGAGAAAAUAUUGCUUGGAGUAAAUAAAGCAACUCUGCUUCCCCUGGAAGAGGAAAAGAAGGAAUUAAACAUGUGAAUGCUGCAUGGAGUCAUUUGCACAAGGCUAUAUCUCGUCUGCUAGGCAGGAAUGUUCUCAAUAAACCCUGCUUCUCCUGAUCGUUAUUUUUCUGGGUUUCCACCACACGAUACAAGAGACUCUCACCUGAAAAAAACAAAACACCCUGUAGGGAGGCAGUAUUUCCUUUCUUCAGGCGUUCCCUUUUUUUGUUCUCUCCAGAGCUCUCCCUUCAUUUCUGCUGCUGUUUGGAGCAUGUGCUUACCUCUUUGCUGAUCCCCUGGGCUUCUUUUGGCUCUGGGUGUCAUGGACACUAUUAAUGGUGGGUUCUUUCCCCUCCAUCUUCUUCUGUUUCUUCAUGUGGUUUACCUUCAUUUACCUGUUGGAGUGAUGGAUUUUUCUCACCCUUUAUUACUCGGUGCUUUUUCUUCAUUCUCCAAAACCAACUUCUCACUUGCCCUGUGGCUGUUAGGUGCCAGUUAUGGGAGCAUGAAUUCUUUCUCUAGCCCUUGUCUGAGCUUUCUCGGGGAGCUGAGAGCUCUUUGGGGUUCAACUUGACUCACUUCAGCGCCUUCCUUGCUGCUGCCUGUGUCCUUCGACACUUGAAGGGAAUAAAGUCUCAGUGUGGAGAUGACAGCUGUGAAAUGAUGGCUCUUUUGGAGCAGACAAGAAUGCUGUUGUCAGUCUUUUCAAGGAUAAACUGAGCACCUGGUUUUGGGGAGAAACAGGCUCAGCUCAGCACAGAGGUGGCUGUUGCAAGUGCCCAGGUUUGGAGGGAAGGCUGCAGCUCCUGGGGGUGUGUUGGUGUGGGGCUAUAAGGUUUGUGCUGGGUCCCUGGAGCAGUGGGAACACCCCACUGCGAGAGGCACAUCAGGAAAUGGGUGCAGAAAGGGCCUGAAGUGUGACCAGCUAUAGUGAAGGGUUCCAUAGGAAAUCAUAUUUUUACUGAGAUUUUGGACAAUUUGAGGCUCCUUCUCGUGUCCUUUGCCCGAUGAACAUUCCCCCUUUGCAAGAGCUUGGGGAAUCCUGAGCUCACACAAUGAAAAUCCCUGAUCAUGAUAUCUUUUUUCUAUCCUUUGAUGUUGUCAUCCCAGCAGGAGUCAGAGGAAGAGAAUAUGUGUGACCUGCCUGGCUUUAACAAUGUGCCAGGAACAAUGCCAUGGAGAAGCUGGUCAGAGGAGCAUCUGAGAAGUGUGUGCUACAUCAGUGAUGUCCUACUACUGAUCUUUGCACAGAGAUGAAAAAGUAUCAGUUUGCAUGGCCUGAAUGUCUGGCUCUGGACAUUCUGCAUUACACAAGAUGUGCUGAGCUCAUCUGGCUCUGAAAGAUCAUCUCUGCACCUUAGCCAGGAACAGCAUCAGAGUUCUGAACAGAUGCAUCAAAAUCAGUCAUAACCCAGAGGCAAACCUUGGCAAUACACAUGUGUGGCAGGUUUUUCUGUUUGAAAGGAAGCUUGGCACAAUGUCCAUUGUCUUCUCCAUUUGUGAAACACCAAGCGGAGUCUGGGCAGGCUGAUACGGAGAGCAAAACCUGAAAAUAUCACCCUAGUGAUCCUGAGCCUAGGGGAUGCAGCUAAACCCAGCCAAAAGGAAUUUCUGAAAAGCUGAUCCUGGUUUACAUUUUCUUGAGUUUGGCUUUGCCAACUUCACCAGUCAGUUGUGAAAAUGCAAACAAAAAACUCAAACCAAAUCAGACAAAAACCCAAACAAACAAACAAACAAACCCAUGCAGCAAACCAAUCAAACAAAUAGAUAAAAAACCCCAAAUAAAACCAAAGGGAAUGAGGAGUUAAUAUUAGUAGUGAGAAUAGCACAGCAGGCAAAUGGUUGCUUCCCACAGGAUCAUCAUCAGAAGCCACAUAGAACAGCUGCUCCAAAAUAUACCCAAGAGGAGAAAAAGUGAUCCAUGGCAACUUUGGGGGCAGCUCCACAUUCAGGUGAAGGAUGAGCACGCAGUGGUACAGAUCCAGCAUUGCCCACCCUCCAGGCUGCUCUUUGCUCCUGAUGAAAGACCCUUGCAGGACUGUGGCCCCUCUCAGUGCAGUGUCAGUCACUCCCAGAGCUCUCAGCUGAGCCACUGGCAUUUCCAGAGCGACAUCCAGGCACAAUCCUUCUGCCUGCUGAGCACCUGUGGAAGAUCCUGAGCAUCUUCAUGCCUAGCAGCACAAAACAGCUCAGGAUUUCUCUGAACUGCUUUUCAGGAGAGGUUUCCAUAUCCCUGUGAGAUCUGUUCAUCCCCCGACACGUCUGACUUGGUGUACAACGAUGCAUUUGGGUUCCUCCCUUCCUCCUGUGUGCCAGUGAGAAACCAUCCAUGGGAAUGGAGGAUGUUGUGUGCAGGGCAAUGUAUUCCUGGCUUGCCAUUUUGCUUCACUGUCACUCAGCUGAACAUGGUCCCUAUCUAAGAAGGACUUUGGAGAAAUGGGUAGGAAUUUUGGCUCUGAGAGGAGCAGAAAGCAUAUUUUCUAGACCACAUUGCCAGCAGAUGCCGUUUGCCUGGCAGAACAGUGAUUGCCACUCAUCUUCCUGGCAAGAAUGUCAAGACCCAUUCAGAGAUCCCAGGUUCAGCUGGCCUUUGGCUUUGUCUGUCUCAUUUCACACAUCCACUUUCAAGGGCCAUUAGAAGAGGCACAUGUCUGCCUUGUUACCCAGAAGUGCUGUAGUUAUUCCCAGGAAAAAAAAAAAACAACCAAAAAUUGGCGGUCCUGUGGUGUGGUAGAAAUCCCAUCACAGUUGUGACUCUGUGAGCAAAGACAACCAGUGCUUUUUGGGGCUGUAACAGCUGAGAGUGUGGCAGAGCAGGUUUGAUAUCCUUUUUAGAGUCCUGAAAACAUUGUUCCCAAACAAUCUUUCUCUCCUGUCUUCUGUCAUCAACUGUGGAACAGAGGAAAUGGAAGGGAUCAGAGGUUUGUUUAAAUUUGCGCUUAUUUUUAAGUCUUCGAAUAGUGUCAGCUCGAUGCGUGAUACUUUAGAAAUUGGAUGAGUAGCACCUAUUUCAUCCCAGCAGAGGGGUGGGAUUGAAGACUUCCAACAACAGAAACACUGGAUGUGCAAGAGCUCAGUUUUCCACCCCUCACACAAGUAACUUGCUGUACUAUUUUCAGCAUCCUCAGCCAGAUCAAUUAAAAUACUGCUCCAAACAACAACAGAAUGAAAAUCUUCCACCAAAUGGGGAAAAGGAAGAAAAGUGGGCCGCAGCCCUUUCUUCAGAGCUUGUGUUGAUUUUGCCAAGUCAGAUGCAAACAAGGUUUGCCAUAUUUCUUUCCUAGAAAAAUGCAGCUCUUGAAUAGAAAUCUAUCUCUGAGGCUGCUAAGUUGAGUGCGAUUUUAGAGCUGGGAGGAGCAAAACAGGUUCCAGAGAAGCCAUGGUUGUGUCACCUUUGGAAGUGUUCAGGGCCGGGUUGGAUGGGGCUUGGAGCAACCUUAUUAGUGGAAGGUGUCCUGAGUCUGGUGAGUCCCUGAAAAGAAACUUUUGGUUUUCCUGAAAUGCUGCCUUUGCAAGGGGAGGUCACAACUACCCCACGUAAUUUGAAAUGCCCUGAGCAGAACCCAACUGUUUUUUCUCACAGGUGAGGAGGGAUUUUCACUUGUAUUUUAUGGAGGAUUUUGACAGGGCAGAGCAAGAGCAGCUGAAUGGGUUUGACAGGCAAAGAGGGCCAGUGUGGCAGCAGCUUAAUUCCAUGGAGCUUUUCCUUCUGUGAUCCCGUACAACCUGAGGCACUCUGGGGCUCUUGAACCUGGCAGCUGGGCAAGUUAAUCAUUGGAACAAGUGAUAAAUUAAGCUGCUCCACUCUCUUGAGCAUGGGUGUGAUGAGCCUUAAGUAAACCUGUGAGCACUUGUCAGGAUGGGAGCUUGUUCUUUGCCAGGGAGGAGGGAGAAAAUAUUGCUUGGAGUAAAUAAAGCAACUCUGCUUCCCCUGGAAGAGGAAAAGAAGGAAUUAAA